UACGUAGGGUCCGAGCGUUGUCCGGAAUUACUGGGCGUAAAGAGCGCGUAGGUGGUUUGUCGCGUUGUUCGUGAAAACUCACAGCUCAACUGUGGGCGUGCGGGCGAUACGGGCAGACUAGAGUACUGCAGGGGAGACUGGAAUUCCUGGUGUAGCGGUGGAAUGCGCAGAUAUCAGGAGGAACACCGGUGGCGAAGGCGGGUCUCUGGGCAGUAACUGACGCUGAGGAGCGAAAGCGUGGGGAGCGAACAGG
Molecule: ribosomal RNA, 253 nt
Filed under: uncultured bacterium
Lineage: Bacteria
Description: partial 16S ribosomal RNA
Rfam family: Bacterial small subunit ribosomal RNA
Source: RNAcentral